AUGUCCAAAGUUUUGGAAAGAAGAAAUUCAUUUGGUACCACCACUCCUACGAGUUCAGCUUCAGCUUCAGAUUCGAAAAAGAAUGAGAAGACGGUAUCACGCUAUCUAAGACCUUCUACAGGCUCAUGUCAUGAUUUAUGCAAGCAUGGACACAGGAAUCCUUCUGAAGAAAAGCUUCUGCUUUCAGGGGGGAGAAGAAAGAAACUUCCAACUCAUUCAAAUAAUUUGACACUGCAUGGGUCAGUUAUCUUAGAUGCACCCAAGGAUGUCAGGAACAGAAGAAAUAUUUCACUAGUCAAGUCGAGUAUAUCACUGGGUGAAGCUGAUCGUGUUGUUAACAAGAUAAAAUCAGAAAAUUUAAGAGGCGCUGCAUCAUCAGAACACUUGGUUCCACGCAUCGCUUCAUCAGCAGAUCAUAAAAACGUGAACUCUGAUGGCAGAAAGAAACAUCCAAUGGUUACCCAGAGGACUUUGGCUAAUCCAAGGUAUUCCAGUGGAGUACCCAAUUUUGAUAAAAAAGCAGCAAUGCCAGUCAAGGGUUCAAAGUUGCCAGAGAAGACACUGCAGGAAAAAGCUAGAACUGUGGAGAAGGCCACUACUCUCAAGCAACCGUUAGUUAAGAAACCAGCUUCACUUCCUACUAAACUGAACUUGAUUAAGAAAGUUCCUGUGUCAUCUCAGGCUUCUAAUAAUCUUGUAUCUUCAAGAGAUAAAAGUACUCUGAAAGGAAAGGUUCCUUCUUCACCAGCAAUUAUUACUGGCAAGCGUACAAGCAAUACUGGUAAAACUAUGAGGUCCAGCAAUGCAAGUAUCAAUUGCAAGGAACGCUCAGAUGUGCCCAGAACACCAUUCUCCAUUGAAGAUGAGUUUAUUGCAUCUGUUGAAUUACAAGAAGGUGAUGUGGAGUCAACAGUAGUGGAGCUGUUUCCAGAUGCCACAGAAUAUGGAGACAUAUCUGAAACAGCACCAAAAGAAGAAAGCAGAAUCGGUUCAGAGGAUGGCUUGGAUAUGUCUGAAAUAUCGUCUUCUGUCCAGUCUGAGUUGACUGCUUCUGUUGAAACAGAUGAAGAUGAUGUGCAAGGUUCAUCUAUUACAGGCCAUCUUGUGGAGUCAGCGCUAGCAGAAAUGUCUUCACAUGCCACAGAAUAUGUAGAAGAAUCUCAACCAGCACCAAAAGAAACAAGUAGAUUCAGUUUAGAGGAUGGUGUGGUGGAAAGUAAUGAAGUGAGUGAACCAUUGGUCUCUGAACUCCCCGUUGCUGCUGAAUUGCAGCUAUCAUUUGAUAAUCAAGAACUCAAGACUAUGCUCAGUAAACCGGAUCUAGAGCAUAUGCAACCAGAGAAAAAUUCCACUAAUGGUCGAGCUUCAACGGAUGAAGACAUCCGAACAGAUGAUGCAGCUCUCUGCCAGCUACCCAAACAAUUAACAGCUGUGCAAAAUGCAGAUGUAUAUGAUUCUGCAUUAACUGAAAGUAGCUCGGGAAUGGAAGCUGAUCGAGUGAAAGUCAGUGCUAGUGUGGAGUCUGUAAUCACUGAAAAUAAGGAGGACAUGGGUGCUCAUGAAGACCUUCAAGGACCUCCAGAACUGUGGGCAGUUGAUGAAAAACAUGCUGAGGAUCCUGAGUAUUGCCUCGAUUGCACUACAGGAAAUGUAGCUGAAAAUGUCGAGGCUGCUGAAAUUGACGAUGUUGGGAAUAUUAAUAGUACAUCUCAUUGCCAAUCAAUUUUAGAAACUUCAUCCGAUGGUGAACUUCUGGAGCAAUCAGAGCCUGUGCCAAUUGAUUCUAAUCUACAAACCGAUGAGUUAGCAAGUGUCCAUAACAAUGACACCUCUGAACAGGAUGAACUGAAAUCAAUGAUUGUUGCUCAACAGUUAGUGGAAGAACUAUCAGAUGAUGAGAAUUAUGAAGAAUAUGAUUAUGAGUUAAUUGAAUUAGAUGACUUUGAUGCAGAAGAUGAAGGAGAAGCAAUCAACCCAAAUGAUGAAUCUUCAAAGGCUAAAGGCCAAAGGCUGCAAAGGAUCUCAUCACUUCACCCAGAUGAUGCUAGUACCACACCUUACAAAUUGAAGUUUAAAAGGGGUAAAAUUGUAGAACUCACACCAGACAGUAAUGGCCCGAGAAGACUCGUAUUUAGAAGAAGAGCUGCCAAUGAAGUUGCAAAUGGUGAAGGUCAGCUAGUGAGAAGGAUUUAUAAGAGGAAUACCAGAAAUAAUGGUGUUCCUACUGAGCCUGACUUGGAAUCUCCUUCAGUGAAACUGAGGCAUCAAGAUACACAAGACAAGAAGGAUGCGCAGGGACUGUUCAACAAUGUAAUAGAAGAAACUGCAAGCAAGCUUGUGGAGUCUAGGAAAAGCAAGGUAAAAGCUUUGGUUGGUGCUUUUGAAACGGUGAUACUUCUCCAGGAUAGCAAUCCCACUACACCACAGGCAGGUAACUCACCACGACUUCUUGGCGAUUGCGGAAGCAAGCGCAUAUGUUCCUCUGCAUCGCCGGGCUGCCGUUCGAACGGCGAUUGA
This 2517-nucleotide ribosomal RNA is filed under the name Triticum aestivum (bread wheat). RNAcentral describes it as "partial small subunit ribosomal RNA". Lineage: Eukaryota; Viridiplantae; Streptophyta; Magnoliopsida; Poales; Poaceae. The record is from RNAcentral.